This 3254-nucleotide long non-coding RNA is filed under the name Homo sapiens (human). Its description in RNAcentral is "HSALNT0264804". The record is from RNAcentral. Lineage: Eukaryota; Metazoa; Chordata; Mammalia; Primates; Hominidae.
CCACUUGCCUACAAGGCAAAGGUGAAGUUGUAUCUCCUUAGCCUGGUUUAGAAAACCUUCUUUCUCCCUUCACACCACUUUAUGGCCAUAUGUUUGUCUUUCUACACUCAACAAUACAGCAUUCCACAGAAAAAGCAAGCCCUUUACCUAAUACAUGCUUUUGCUUUCUCUCUUAGGAUGGAUUUCCCAAGAAACAGAGUCUGAGAGGAAGAUUUUCAGGCAGGAAGUUCAUUGGAGAGUUUUGUUGAGGACAGCAGUUGUAAGGGAAUAUAUUAGCUACCUAUUGUGAUGUGAAAAAUUACCUCAAAACUCUGCAGCUUGCAGCAAUAAGCAUUCAUUAUCUCCACCAUUUCUGGGGGUCAGGAAUCCAGGAGCAGCUUAGCUGUCUGGUUCUGGCUCUAGGUUCCUCAUGAGGAUGCAGUCACACUGUCAGUCAAGGGACAAUCCACUCCUGAACUCAGGGCAUGGUGUUGGCAGCACUCAGUUCUUCACCACACUGGCCGCUUAACAGUGUUCACGUGACAUGGCAGCUGGCUCUCCCCAGAAUGAGUGACAAGACAGAGUGAGGGAGGGAGUACACCAAGACCGAAGCCACUAGGAAGUGACAUCUUGCAAUGCCUGCCGUAAUCUAUUCACUAAAAUGAGUCACUAAGUUCAGCCCACACACAAGAGGAGAGAAAUGAAACUGCAUCUCUACUGGGAAGGAGCACAAAAGAAUGUACGGACAGAUCUUAAAGCCACCAGAGAGUAAGGGAAGCAGUGAUGGGCAGAGGGAGAAGUUAAAUACCGAUUCAGUCUUCACGGUGCUCGGCUGACCCCAGGGGAGUCCUGGAGCUUGGAUGGUGCCUUCAGAAAGGUCCCAAAAUGAGGCUGUUGACAAGUGACCAUCUAGCCCAGGAAGUGGAUUGUUUUAAUGCCCUUCAAGGUCCAGCAAAGACAAGGAUGACAACCAUAUUUGCAAGCCAGUCCCCACACUACCAAUGUUCUUUCUACAAGAAGUAGGUAGGAAGUCACUGGAGUCGAGGUGGGUAGCAGGUAGGAUUAAUUCUUGAAUUCAAUGUUCACUCUCUCUUGCCCCUCUGCCAUAUUAGAAUACAGACAUAAAAGGGGAGUGAUUUUGUGACUUCUCCCCACUGCAGUCUAGCACUUAGAACAAGGCCUGACAUUCAGUAUGCCCUCAACAAACAUGUGCUAAUCUCUGAGUAACUUCACUCACUCCUAGCAUUACACAUUCCUGCUGCUAUUCAUCCAGUUUAUGCUAUUCUGCCUUUCUGGAAUAUUCCUUCUUAGCCACUAAGAUGCAGCUAACAGCUAAAUCAAUCUCUCACACACACACGCACACUCACUCUCUCUCCCCUUUCCCAUUUUUCUAGUACUUCUAGUCAUUCUAAGUACUUUCUUCUUUCUUUUGCUAGCCAGCAUUCACUUCCACCCCGCUAUGACAAGCAAAUCCUACAUGAGAUCACUCUCCAGUGUUUUCUCAUAGGAUACUUUAUUCUUACCUUGAUUUCUCUCAACAUCAGACACCAACACGGGACUGGUUACAGAAAAUCUAUGUGAGGUGGGGAUAACUUCAGAAGCACAAGUGAGGGCGAGGGGGAGAGUGAAACAGGAGAGGAAAGCCAAGAAAGAGUGUGUUAGUAAAUGGGUUACUUUGUGAGAAACUGAGGCUUCACACUGCUGGGGACUUUCUGAGAUACUGUGUGGAGCCAACUGGAUGGAGGAUAGGGAGGCUGGAGUGUUAUCCAUCAACUUCUGUCCCCUGUUGUCUGAAAGUUGCCCCUGAAGGCAUUCACCCUCUCACUUUUCAGGAACCCCUGUACAAUGAGGAUGAAGAAAACCCUCAAGCAGGAGAAAAAGAAAAGAAGACAAUCAAAGAGAGAAGUUCUCAGCUUGAUGGGAGAUAUGGGCUGCAGCUGCAGUUAACUCAGUGGAUGUAGAAGAUAUGGAGUGGGGAACAACAGUGUUUGCUACUCUGGUCCUUCAAGUUUUUAUCGAGUGUUUUGAAGUAGGGAUUGUAUAAUGGGUGCCCAUCUGUCUCCACAGUGCCCAGCAGAGUUCUAGGAGGUAGAGACGUCUGUUGUGUUUGCUUUUUCUUCACCUUUUGGUGGUUCUUCACUAAUCUAUGCAUGAAUUCAUUUUGAAACCUAUAUCCCAUUUUCCUUCUGGGAAGUCAUUUUCUCUCCCCCUCUUAGCUCAUGAAUUCCCAGUGAAAUUGAAUCCACUGUGAAUUCCGUGGAAUUGCCUCCAGAGGUGGGCAGGGAAAUCAGGUCCAGUCAGUUAGAGUAUUUUAUUCUCUGACUACAGUAAUCAGUUCAGAAAGAGUAAGUGACGAAAUCAUAGCUAAUGAAAUGCAGGGAGACUUUAUGAAGAUUGCUGGAAAAUUGUCUUCAUUUUUCUCCUAGCAUUAAACCUGGAAGUUAUCUUGAAACACUAUAUUUGAUAGUUGCCCAUCAACAAAGCCAGCACUUAGCAAAUUGACAUAAGAAACAAUAGACAACUAAGUGAAGAGCAUUACUUGACUUGGAUCAAAUGAGUCCUCUGGAACCACACAUUCCUAUUUGGUAUUAGCAUAUUUGACAGGUUUUGUUGUCACAUGCAGUAAAAAAGUUGUGAUAUAUAUAUGCCAUUUUCUCUAGAAAGGACACUGGCUUCACAGAACAGGCACUAACUCAAUUCAACUUGAGUUUUAUUAAGUAGAAGAAAAGGAAAUCUCAUGAACUCCUAGGGACAAGGAAUAAAGUUUGAAAAGACAGCAUGGGUAAGACUCUGGAAAGUGACUCAGGAAACUGUGUAGUUUUACAUGCUUCAUGCUUCUCUAGUGGAUGGUCAUUGAAAUAAUUACUAAAGGAUAAACUCCAGGAAAAAGAGAAGUGGAUCAGAAGAAAGAAAUGAAAUGCAAGAAUAAAUAGGGAGAAAAAAAGUUGCUGAACAUGAAGAUAAAUCUAAGAAAGUGUUACAGAACAUGAGGGGAUAUCUGUGAAAGCAUUAGUUUAUAAAAUGAGAACAACAAUGGCUAAAUUUGAGGGUUAAAAGAGGUUGGAACUAAAUUACGAAGCACAACAUCAUUUAUGUCAUGAGGGUGGGAUCACAAGGAAGCCUUUGCAAGUACUUGCUUGUUCAGGAGAGGGAAGGAGAUAUAGAUCACUUAGGCAUAAGUCUAUUUUCUGGUUAAGAGUCAUCACUAAGGCCGGGCGCAGUGGCUCACGCCUGUAAUCCCAGCACUUUGGGAGGCCGAGGCGGGCGGAUCACGA